GAAAGACGGGUGAGAAUCCCGUCCACCGAUUGACUAAGGUUUCCAGAGGAAGGCUCGUCCGCUCUGGGUUAGUCGGGUCCUAAGCUGAGGCCGACAGGCGUAGGCGAUGGAUAACAGGUUGAUAUUCCUGUACCACCUAUAAUCGUUUUAAUCGAUGGGGGGACGCAGUAGGAUAGGCGAAGCGUGCGAUUGGAUUGCACGUCUAAGCAGUAAGGCUGAGUAUUAGGCAAAUCCGGUACUCGUUAAGGCUGAGCUGUGAUGGGGAGAAGACAUUGUGUCUUCGAGUCGUUGAUUUCACACUGCCGAGAAAAGCCUCUAGAUAGAAAAUAGGUGCCCGUACCGCAAACCGACACAGGUAGUCAAGAUGAGAAUUCUAAGGUGAGCGAGCGAACUCUCGUUAAGGAACUCGGCAAAAUGACCCCGUAACUUCGGGAGAAGGGGUGCUCUUUAGGGUUAACGCCCAGAAGAGCCGCAGUGAAUAGGCCCAAGCGACUGUUUAUCAAAAACACAGGUCUCUGCUAAACCGUAAGGUGAUGUAUAGGGGCUGACGCCUGCCCGGUGCUGGAAGGUUAAGAGGAGUGGUUAGCUUCUGCGAAGCUACGAAUCGAAGCCCCAGUAAACGGCGGCCGUAACUAUAACGGUCCUAAGGUAGCGAAAUUCCUUGUCGGGUAAGUUCCGACCCGCACGAAAGGCGUAACGAUUUGGGCACUGUCUCAACGAGAGACUCGGUGAAAUCAUAGUACCUGUGAAGAUGCAGGUUACCCGCGACAGGACGGAAAGACCCCGUGGAGCUUUACUGUAGCCUGAUAUUGAAAUUCGGCACAGCUUGUACAGGAUAGGUAGGAGCCUUUGAAACGUGAGCGCUAGCUUACGUGGAGGCGCUGGUGGGAUACUACCCUAGCUGUGUUGGCUUUCUAACCCGCACCACUUAUCGUGGUGGGAGACAGUGUCAGGCGGGCAGUUUGACUGGGGCGGUCGCCUCCUAAAAGGUAACGGAGGCGCUCAAAGGUUCCCUCAGAAUGGUUGGAAAUCAUUCAUAGAGUGUAAAGGCAUAAGGGAGCUUGACUGCGAGACCUACAAGUCGAGCAGGGUCGAAAGACGGACUUAGUGAUCCGGUGGUUCCGCAUGGAAGGGCCAUCGCUCAACGGAUAAAAGCUACCCCGGGGAUAACAGGCUUAUCUCCCCCAAGAGUUCACAUCGACGGGGAGGUUUGGCACCUCGAUGUCGGCUCAUCGCAUCCUGGGGCUGUAGUCGGUCCCAAGGGUUGGGCUGUUCGCCCAUUAAAGCGGUACGCGAGCUGGGUUCAGAACGUCGUGAGACAGUUCGGUCCCUAUCCGUCGUGGGCGUAGGAAAUUUGAGAGGAGCUGUCCUUAGUACGAGAGGACCGGGAUGGACAUACCUCUGGUGUACCAGUUGUCGUGCCAACGGCAUAGCUGGGUAGCUAUGUGUGGACGGGAUAAGUGCUGAAAGCAUCUAAGCAUGAAGCCCCCCUCAAGAUGAGAUUUCCCAACUUCGGUUAUAAGAUCCCUCAAAGAUGAUGAGGUUAAUAGGUUCGAGGUGGAAGCAUGGUGACAUGUGGAGCUGACGAAUACUAAUCGAUCGAAGACUUAAUCAAAUU
This 1618-nucleotide ribosomal RNA is filed under the name Staphylococcus aureus. Its description in RNAcentral is "partial 23S ribosomal RNA". It matches the Rfam family "Bacterial large subunit ribosomal RNA", at positions 1312 to 2925 of the family's 2925-position model. Lineage: Bacteria; Bacillati; Bacillota; Bacilli; Caryophanales; Staphylococcaceae. The record is from RNAcentral.